GAUGAAGAACGCAGCGAAAUGCGAUACGUAAUGUGAAUUGCAGAAUUCAGUGAAUCAUCGAGUCUUUGAACGCACAUUGCGCCCCCUGGUAUUCCGGGGGGCAUGCCUGUCCGAGCGUCAUUGCUGCCCUCAAGCACGGCUUGUGUGUUGGGCCUCCGUCCUCCUCCCGGGGGACGGGCCUGAAAGGCAGCGGCGGCACCGCGUCCGGUCCUCGAGCGUAUGGGGCUUCGUCACCCGCUCUUGUAGGCCCGGCCGGCGCUUGCCGACACAUCAAUCUUUUUUCCAGGUUGACCUCGGAUCAGGUAGGGAUACCCGCUGAACUUAAGCAUAUCAAUAAGCGGAGGA
RNAcentral lists this unclassified non-coding RNA (345 nucleotides) under soil metagenome. RNAcentral's name for it is "partial contains 5.8S ribosomal RNA, internal transcribed spacer 2, and large subunit ribosomal RNA". The stretch from base 1 to 120 matches the Rfam family "5.8S ribosomal RNA", at positions 35 to 154 of the family's 154-position model. The record is from RNAcentral.